This 1419-nucleotide ribosomal RNA is filed under the name Staphylococcus pseudoxylosus. Its description in RNAcentral is "bacterial SSU rRNA". It matches the Rfam family "Bacterial small subunit ribosomal RNA". The record is from RNAcentral. Lineage: Bacteria; Bacillati; Bacillota; Bacilli; Caryophanales; Staphylococcaceae.
CAUGCAAGUCGAGCGAACAGAUAAGGAGCUUGCUCCUUUGACGUUAGCGGCGGACGGGUGAGUAACACGUGGGUAACCUACCUAUAAGACUGGGAUAACUUCGGGAAACCGGAGCUAAUACCGGAUAACAUUUGGAACCGCAUGGUUCUAAAGUGAAAGAUGGUUUUGCUAUCACUUAUAGAUGGACCCGCGCCGUAUUAGCUAGUUGGUAAGGUAACGGCUUACCAAGGCAACGAUACGUAGCCGACCUGAGAGGGUGAUCGGCCACACUGGAACUGAGACACGGUCCAGACUCCUACGGGAGGCAGCAGUAGGGAAUCUUCCGCAAUGGGCGAAAGCCUGACGGAGCAACGCCGCGUGAGUGAUGAAGGGUUUCGGCUCGUAAAACUCUGUUAUUAGGGAAGAACAAAUGUGUAAGUAACUGUGCACAUCUUGACGGUACCUAAUCAGAAAGCCACGGCUAACUACGUGCCAGCAGCCGCGGUAAUACGUAGGUGGCAAGCGUUAUCCGGAAUUAUUGGGCGUAAAGCGCGCGUAGGCGGUUUCUUAAGUCUGAUGUGAAAGCCCACGGCUCAACCGUGGAGGGUCAUUGGAAACUGGGAAACUUGAGUGCAGAAGAGGAAAGUGGAAUUCCAUGUGUAGCGGUGAAAUGCGCAGAGAUAUGGAGGAACACCAGUGGCGAAGGCGACUUUCUGGUCUGUAACUGACGCUGAUGUGCGAAAGCGUGGGGAUCAAACAGGAUUAGAUACCCUGGUAGUCCACGCCGUAAACGAUGAGUGCUAAGUGUUAGGGGGUUUCCGCCCCUUAGUGCUGCAGCUAACGCAUUAAGCACUCCGCCUGGGGAGUACGACCGCAAGGUUGAAACUCAAAGGAAUUGACGGGGACCCGCACAAGCGGUGGAGCAUGUGGUUUAAUUCGAAGCAACGCGAAGAACCUUACCAAAUCUUGACAUCCUUUGAAAACUCUAGAGAUAGAGCCUUCCCCUUCGGGGGACAAAGUGACAGGUGGUGCAUGGUUGUCGUCAGCUCGUGUCGUGAGAUGUUGGGUUAAGUCCCGCAACGAGCGCAACCCUUAAGCUUAGUUGCCAUCAUUAAGUUGGGCACUCUAGGUUGACUGCCGGUGACAAACCGGAGGAAGGUGGGGAUGACGUCAAAUCAUCAUGCCCCUUAUGAUUUGGGCUACACACGUGCUACAAUGGACAAUACAAAGGGCAGCUAAACCGCGAGGUCAUGCAAAUCCCAUAAAGUUGUUCUCAGUUCGGAUUGUAGUCUGCAACUCGACUACAUGAAGCUGGAAUCGCUAGUAAUCGUAGAUCAGCAUGCUACGGUGAAUACGUUCCCGGGUCUUGUACACACCGCCCGUCACACCACGAGAGUUUGUAACACCCGAAGCCGGUGGAGUAACCAUUUAUGGAGCUAG